Molecule: small nucleolar RNA, 84 nt
Filed under: Colletotrichum graminicola M1.001
Lineage: Eukaryota; Fungi; Ascomycota; Sordariomycetes; Glomerellales; Glomerellaceae
Description: small nucleolar RNA R38
Source: RNAcentral
CUCGGAUGAUGACCAAGACAAUUUUUAUACAGUUAUCCCUAUCUCAAUCAUUAUGUGUGGAUAUGGUUCUAAUUUCUGACCCCG